GUGCCAGCAGCUGCGGUAAUACGGAGGGUGCAAGCGUUAAUCGGAAUUACUGGGCGUAAAGCGCACGCAGGCGGUCUGUCAAGUCGGAUGUGAAAUCCCCGGGCUCAACCUGGGAACUGCAUUCGAAACUGGCAGGCUGGAGUCUUGUAGAGGGGGGUAGAAUUCCAGGUGUAGCGGUGAAAUGCGUAGAGAUCUGGAGGAAUACCGGUGGCGAAGGCGGCCCCCUGGACAAAGACUGACGCUCAGGUGCGAAAGCGUGGGGAGCAAACAGGAUUAGAUACCCUGGUAGUCCACGCCGUAAACGAUGUCGAUUUGGAGGUUGUGCCCUUGAGGCGUGGCUUCCGGAGCUAACGCGUUAAAUCGACCGCCUGGGGAGUACGGCCGCAAGGUUAAAACUCAAAUGAAUUGACGGGGGCCCGCACAAGCGGUGGAGCAUGUGGUUUAAUUCGAUGCAACGCGAAGACCUUACCUGGUCUUGACAUCCACAGAACUUUCCAGAGAUGGAUUGGUGCCUUCGGGAACUGU
Molecule: ribosomal RNA, 525 nt
Filed under: uncultured Enterobacter sp.
Lineage: Bacteria; Pseudomonadati; Pseudomonadota; Gammaproteobacteria; Enterobacterales; Enterobacteriaceae
Description: bacterial SSU rRNA
Rfam family: Bacterial small subunit ribosomal RNA
Source: RNAcentral